GAUCAUGGCUCAGGACGAACGCUGGCGGCGCGCCUAACACAUGCAAGUCGAACGGAAUCAAGAGGAGCUUGCUUUUCUUGAUUUAGUGGCGAACGGGUGAGUAACGCGUGAGUAACCUGCCCUGGAGUGGGGGACAACAGUUGGAAACGACUGCUAAUACCGCAUAAGCCCACGGUACCGCAUGGUACUGAGGGAAAAGGAUUAAUUCGCUUCAGGAUGGACUCGCGUCCAAUUAGCUAGUUGGUGAGG
This 249-nucleotide ribosomal RNA is filed under the name uncultured bacterium. RNAcentral describes it as "partial 16S ribosomal RNA". It matches the Rfam family "Bacterial small subunit ribosomal RNA", at positions 15 to 257 of the family's 1533-position model. The record is from RNAcentral.